RNAcentral lists this ribosomal RNA (501 nucleotides) under uncultured bacterium. RNAcentral's name for it is "partial 16S ribosomal RNA". It matches the Rfam family "Bacterial small subunit ribosomal RNA", at positions 30 to 523 of the family's 1533-position model. The record is from RNAcentral.
AUUGAACGCUGGCGGCAGGCUUAACACAUGCAAGUCGAGCGGGGGAAGGUAGCUUGCUACCGGACCUAGCGGCGGACGGGUGAGUAAUGCUUAGGAAUCUGCCUAUUAGUGGGGGACAACAUCUCGAAAGGGAUGCUAAUACCGCAUACGUCCUAUGGGAGAAAGCAGGGGAUCUUCGGACCUUGCGCUAAUAGAUGAGCCUAAGUCGGAUUAGCUAGUUGGUGGGGUAAAGGCCUACCAAGGCGACGAUCUGUAGCGGGUCUGAGAGGAUGAUCCGCCACACUGGGACUGAGACACGGCCCAGACUCCUACGGGCGGCAGCAGUGGGGAAUAUUGGACAAUGGGGGGAACCCUGAUCCAGCCAUGCCGCGUGUGUGAAGAAGGCCUUAUGGUUGUAAAGCACUUUAAGCGAGGAGGAGGCUACUUUAGUUAAUACCUAGAGAUAGUGGACGUUACUCGCAGAAUAAGCACCGGCUAACUCUGUGCCAGCCGCCGCUGUAA